This 247-nucleotide ribosomal RNA is filed under the name uncultured bacterium. RNAcentral describes it as "partial 16S ribosomal RNA". It matches the Rfam family "Bacterial small subunit ribosomal RNA", at positions 523 to 769 of the family's 1533-position model. The record is from RNAcentral.
AUACGGAGGAUGCGAGCGUUAUCCGGAUUCAUUGGGUUUAAAGGGUGCGUAGGUUGCCGAUUAAGUCAGCGGUGAAAGUCAGUGGCUCAACCAUUGAAAUGCCGUUGAAACUGUCGGACUUGAGUGUAAAUGAGGUAGGCGGAAUGCGUGGUGUAGCGGUGAAAUGCAUAGAUAUCACGCAGAACUCCGAUUGCGAAGGCAGCUUACUAAGCUACAACUGACACUGAAGCACGAAAGCGUGGGGAUC